This 156-nucleotide ribosomal RNA is filed under the name Hydnum rufescens. RNAcentral describes it as "5.8S ribosomal RNA". It matches the Rfam family "5.8S ribosomal RNA". Rfam says of the family: 5.8S ribosomal RNA (5.8S rRNA) is a component of the large subunit of the eukaryotic ribosome. The record is from RNAcentral. Lineage: Eukaryota; Fungi; Basidiomycota; Agaricomycetes; Cantharellales; Hydnaceae. RNAcentral also lists the same sequence under 1 other name.
CUUUUAACAACGGAUCUCUUGGCUCUCGCAUCGAUGAAGAACGCAGCGAAAUGCGAUAAGUAAUGUGAAUUGCAGAAUUCAGUGAAUCAUCGAAUCUUUGAACGCACCUUGCGCUCUCUGGUAUUCCGGGGAGCACACCUGUUCGAGUGUCAUUAA